GGAGGCCGUGCUGAGAUCUUUGGAGGGAGUGCUGUGCAGGAUGAAUGUGGAGGUCUGGCAGCAACAGGACAGCACAGCUACAAACAUCCACAAAUACACUUGAGAGUCUUCACACUGCAUACAUUCAGAUUACUUUUUUAAACCCAUUAAAAGAACACAGAGCCAUAGAUAUGUAAUUAAUGUACAUAAUAGUGAUAUUAAAAGGACAAUUCAGUAAAAAAAAAAAAAAAACCUUGAUGAAAAACAAAUCAUUUUAUGAUCAGAUCGUAUUAUAAAAUAAUCAUAAAAGUGGUCCGUUUGGUGUAAUGUUUGAUGCGCUCUUUUGGGCAGUGUUGUUUUUGUUAACUAAAACUAUUCAAAAUUAGUUUUGAAAAAAAAAAGUCAGAACAAAAUCACUAAAACUAAAAUUAAAUAAAAGUUUAAAUUGCCCCUAAUAUGCCAUUUCGAAUAUUGCCCUUUCAUGCAGUGUGUAAUGUAGCUGUCUGUGAAUGUAAACUAUCUGCAAAGUUGUGCAGCCGAUGGUAAAUAAAGUUAUUGUCUCUCUCUCCAAAAAUAAAUAAAUAAAUAAAAUAAAAAGAAUCGACUCUGAAUCCCCUAAUCCCCUUAUUUUUUUUUUUUUUUUUUUUUUUUGGUGAACUAUGCCAUUAAGUAUUUUUCUAUUGUUUUACAGUUUUCCCCUGCAGACUUUAAAGUGGGUGCAGAUAGAGGCAGCUUCCUCAGAUCCAGGUUCAACCUUGUUAAAACCCAGUUUGUAUUCUUUGACCCAAGGCUCCUGCUGUGCUAACAGUACAUGCUCUCAUCUGUCAGGUCAACAGCAGAGCACCAUUCCCUGUGUGAGUGAAGAGGAACUGGCCAAGUUUGUGUCUCUGACGCCUCUGUCCAAAACACUGCAGGAGAUAAAGGAAUCACUCCAGAUUCUCGCCCACACGCCCAAGACAGAGGACGUUAUUAUCAUCCCAGCAGAGAGUGAACUGUCGCACCUGUUCCCUGUUGCCCUUGACAACCUUUCCCCACAGCAUUUUGCUGUCUUCCUGUUUGGCUACCAUGUUGUGCAUUUUCUGAGCAGGGCUUGUUCCUUCCCCCCGUCAUGCUGCAAUUGGCCAGGACGGUGCCAGCCUCUCACUGUGAUAACCUGCUGGCCUGCUGCUAUAAAGUCUUUUAUUACUACACAGAAGCUUCAAAACGCUGGCCAGUUCUUCUCCGUUCUCUUACACUCAAUGACCUAUAUAACCUCAGAUGAUUGAGGAAAAUACACCGGAGGCCUUUGGAACAUUAGUAGAGGACUUCUUCCGUGUAAAAAUACCUACUGAAACUCAUUUUGCUGAGCACCUGCUGACAGAGAGGUGCUGUGUGUGGAAAGAGAAAUAAACAGACUUGAUGAAGUUUACCAGCAGCUCUCCUCUGGGCUCCACAGGGCAAUGCACAUACACAGCCCACCAGAGAAGAAAGAGUCCAGGUCUGACAAACAGCUUCAGGAGCAGCAGAUGAUGCUGGAGCUGCAGAAGUGUACAGUGGAUCAGAAACUGAAGGAGAUGAGAGACAGACUUUCUAAACUGAGCUCAAGCCAGCGAGCGAGUCCUAAUGAAGUCAGACCAGCUCACAGCACAGUCCUGGCUCAGGAAGACAGCCAGACACCCAGCAAAUGCAAACCAGACAGUGGAGAACCAGAGAAACCUGCUGCAGGACAGUCCAGCAACAGGAAAAAGCAAAGCAAGCAUAUGGACAAACAUGAGGAAAAGGGUGUGACUGCAUGAGGAAUAAUGUUUGAAAAUGAUGAUUAUUAUAAAAAUACAAAAAUGUCUCCUCACUUGUCACAUGUAGAUUUUGUAGCUGUUUGUGACAAAAACUCACACGGAGGAGAACCUCUGGUUUAAAAGCAGUGUUAUCCUAAACAACUUAGCAAAUGUACUCAUAACCUUAAAACUGUGAUUCGUUAUUUUAUUGGUUUAUUUUUUCAUUUCCAUGAAUGUAUGCAUGUAUUUACACCACUGUUCAAGAAUUUAGGGUUGGUAAGAUUCUUAAAUUAAAAGUUCAAGAGAACACUAAUUAUUUGAAGUAGAAGUCUAUUGUAUUAUAAAUGUCUUUACUUCACUUUUGAUCAGUUUGACAUCAUGCUGUAUAGUAUUAAUGCAUAGGUAUUAAUAUCUUUCAAAAAAUCUUACUGAGUGUGUUUAUGAAUUAGCUUUAUUUCUUAAUAUGAUUUUAUUAAGUCUAAAUCUAAAUGUAUAAAAAUAAAUCUAAGUUAUUAAAAAUAUUGUGUCA
Molecule: long non-coding RNA, 2262 nt
Organism: Cyprinus carpio (common carp)
Lineage: Eukaryota; Metazoa; Chordata; Actinopteri; Cypriniformes; Cyprinidae
Source: Ensembl